AUUCGGGUGACGAGUCUCAAAUAGGACGAAACGCGCGUCUUGGAU
Molecule: non-coding RNA, 45 nt
Filed under: Schistosoma margrebowiei
Lineage: Eukaryota; Metazoa; Platyhelminthes; Trematoda; Strigeidida; Schistosomatidae
Source: RNAcentral